CUUUUACAAUGAAGAGUUUGAUCCUGGCUCAGGAUGAACGCUAGCUACAGGCUUAACACAUGCAAGUCGAGGGGCAUCAGGAAGAAAGCUUGCUUUCUUUGCUGGCGACCGGCGCACGGGUGAGUAACACGUAUCCAACCUGCCCUUUACUCGGGGAUAGCCUUUCGAAAGAAAGAUUAAUACCCGAUGGCAUAAUGAUUCCGCAUGGUUUCAUUAUUAAAGGAUUCCGGUAAAGGAUGGGGAUGCGUUCCAUUAGGUUGUUGGUGGGGUAACGGCCCACCAAGCCUUCGAUGGAUAGGGGUUCUGAGAGGAAGGUCCCCCACAUUGGAACUGAGACACGGUCCAAA
RNAcentral lists this ribosomal RNA (347 nucleotides) under Bacteroides fragilis. RNAcentral's name for it is "bacterial SSU rRNA". It matches the Rfam family "Bacterial small subunit ribosomal RNA", at positions 1 to 335 of the family's 1533-position model. Lineage: Bacteria; Pseudomonadati; Bacteroidota; Bacteroidia; Bacteroidales; Bacteroidaceae. The record is from RNAcentral.